GACGAACGCUGGCGGCGUGCUUAACACAUGCAAGUCGAACGGAAAGGCCCUGCUUGCAGGGUGCUCGAGUGGCGAACGGGUGAGUAACACGUGGGUGAUCUGCCCCUUACUUUGGGAUAAGCCUGGGAAACUGGGUCUAAUACUGGAUAGGGCCAUGCUGUAGGUGGUGUGGUGGACAGAUUAGUUUCGGUAAGGGAUGAGCUCGCGGCCUAUCAGCUUGUUGGUGGGGUAAUGGCCGACCAAGGCGUCGACGGGUAGCCGGCCUGAGAGGGUGGACGGCCACAUUGGGACUGAGAUACGGCCCAGACUCCUACGGGAGGCAGCAGUGGGGAAUAGUGCACAAUGGGCGCAAGCCUGAUGCAGCGACGCCGCGUGGGGGAUGACGGCCUUCGGGUUGUAAACUCCUUUCAGCCAUGACGAAGCCCUUGUGGUGACGGUAGUGGUAGAAGAAGCACCGGCUAACUACGUG
RNAcentral lists this ribosomal RNA (469 nucleotides) under uncultured bacterium. RNAcentral describes it as "partial 16S ribosomal RNA". It matches the Rfam family "Bacterial small subunit ribosomal RNA", at positions 28 to 507 of the family's 1533-position model. The record is from RNAcentral.